This 254-nucleotide ribosomal RNA is filed under the name uncultured bacterium. Its description in RNAcentral is "partial 16S ribosomal RNA". It matches the Rfam family "Bacterial small subunit ribosomal RNA", at positions 524 to 776 of the family's 1533-position model. The record is from RNAcentral.
UACGUAGGGUGCGAGCGUGUCCGGAAGUUAUUGGGCGUAAAGAGCUCGUAGGCGGUUUGUCGCGUCGGCCGUGAAAUCUCCACGCUUAACGUGGAGCGUGCGGUCGAUACGGGCAGACUUGAGUUCGGUAGGGGAGACUGGAAUUCCCGGUGUAGCGGUGAAAUGCGCAGAUAUCAGGAGGAACACCGGUGGCGAAGGCGGGUCUCUGGGCCGAUAUUGACGCUGGAGGAGCGAAAGCGUGGGGAGCGAACAGG